CGAGCGGGAUAAGAUGAUCGCGGCGGCGUUUGAGCGCGCAAGCAAUCGAGCGUUCGUCGAGGAAAGUCCGGGCUCCACAGGACAGGGUGCUGGCGCAGGCCAGUCGGGGUGACUCGAAGGAAAGUGCCACAGAAAGUAAACCGCCCGUGUUCACACGGGUAAGGGUGAAAGGGUGUCGGUAAGAGCGCACCGGGCCGCUGGUGACAGGGGUCGCACGGUAAACCCCACCCGGAGCAAGGCCGAGCAGGGGCAGCUCGCAACCCUCGGGAAGCGAGCAGGGGCUGUCCGCCCCGCCUCGGGUAGCGCCGCGUAGAAGAAUGAUCAUCACCCGGCGAGAGCAAUCGAGUCGGGGACAGAACCCGGCUUACGACCCGUCUCGACCG
Molecule: RNase P RNA, 383 nt
Filed under: Nannocystaceae bacterium
Lineage: Bacteria; Pseudomonadati; Myxococcota; Nannocystales; Nannocystaceae
Description: RNase P RNA component class A
Rfam family: Bacterial RNase P class A
About the family: Ribonuclease P (RNase P) is a ubiquitous endoribonuclease, found in archaea, bacteria and eukarya as well as chloroplasts and mitochondria. Its best characterised activity is the generation of mature 5'-ends of tRNAs by cleaving the 5'-leader elements of precursor-tRNAs.
Source: RNAcentral